Molecule: ribosomal RNA, 492 nt
Filed under: uncultured bacterium
Lineage: Bacteria
Description: partial 16S ribosomal RNA
Rfam family: Bacterial small subunit ribosomal RNA
Source: RNAcentral
AUUGAACGCUGGCGGCAUGCUUUACUCAUGCAAGUCGAACGGUAACAGGCCUUCGGGUGCUGACGAGUGGCGCACGGGUGAGUAAUGCAUCGGAACGUACCCAGAGGUGGGGGAUAACGCAGCGAAAGCUGUGCUAAUACCGCAUGUGAUCUGAGGAUGAAAGCGGGGGACCGAGCAGCAAUGUUUGGCCUCGCGCCUUUGGAGCGGCCGAUGUCGGAUUAGCUAGUUGGUGGGGUAAAGGCCUACCAAGGCGACGAUCCGUAGCUGGUCUGAGAGGACGACCAGCCACACUGGGACUGAGACACGGCCCAGACUCCUACGGGAGGCAGCAGUGGGGAAUUUUGGACAAUGGGCGCAAGCCUGAUCCAGCAAUGCCGCGUGCGGGAAGAAGGCCUUCGGGUUGUAAACCGCUUUUGGCAGGAACGAAACGGUGUCCGCUAAUACCGGGCGCUAAUGACGGUACCUGCAGAAUAAGCACCGGCUAACUACGUG